CCUACGGGAGGCAGCAGUGAGGAAUAUUGGUCAAUGGCCGGAAGGCUGAACCAGCCAAGCCGCGUGAGGGAGGAAGGCGCAGAGCGUCGCAGACCUCUUUUGCCGGGGGACAAAAGGCCGGACUCGUCCGGUCCUGAGGGUACCCGGAGAAAAAGCAUCGGCUAACUCCGUGCCAGCAGCCGCGGUAAUACGGAGGAUGCGAGCGUUAUCCGGAUUCAUUGGGUUUAAAGGGUGCGCAGGCGGGCCUUUAAGCCGGCGGUGAAAUCCCCGCGCUCAACGUGGGAACUGACUUUGAAACUGGCAAACUGGAGUGUGUGAGAGGAUAGUGGAAUUCCAGGUGUAGGAGUGAAAUCCGUAGAUAUCUGGAGGAACAUCAGUGGCGAAGGCGACUAUCUGGCACAUAACUGACGCUGAGGAGCGAAAGCGUGGGUAGCAAACAGGAUUAGAUACCCCAGUAGUC
This 460-nucleotide ribosomal RNA is filed under the name uncultured bacterium. RNAcentral's name for it is "partial 16S ribosomal RNA". It matches the Rfam family "Bacterial small subunit ribosomal RNA", at positions 338 to 795 of the family's 1533-position model. The record is from RNAcentral.